CAACACAGCAGAUGGUGAUCCAUGCUGUGGAAGUCUCACAUCUCCUGAUUUAAUGGAGCUGCUUUGCACUUUUUACACUGUUUAUUCACCAACACUUUAUUUAAUAAAAGUCCCAUCUAGUUUUUAUGAGGAAUGUGGUGUUUUAAUUUCUCUGUGAAUAACUGCAGUCUAAUGCAACAGCUGGAGUUGUAACAUCUGUCCUGAUAUUGAUCAUGAAGUAUUGAUCAGAAUACUUAUGGUCAGCAGUCAUCCCUGAAGUUUUACAUUAAAAUCUUUACUUGUGUUGUGAACUUUGGCAAGAAGCAGAAACGUUAGUGUUGCCAUGGAUACAUGAGUGUUAAAUUCUGUCCAUGUUUUAUUUUGGGAAUGCAGUCCAGUUCCAGAAUGUGGAGGAAUUUAUUCUCAAUCACAGACAACAAAUAUUAUCUGAAAGUUGGGUUAUUGUUGUUUAUCAGCACAAUACAAAAAGAUUAAUGUUAGAAAUAUUCCAGUUCAGACUCUAGAAUAUCAUGAUUUAUGUAAAUUUACCUCAAUAAUAUGAAUGUUCAGGUUAAGAUUGUACAGUGAUAUUUAUUAUGUAAGUUUAGCUGAUUAAAGUUUAAGACUCUGCACCAAAAUAUUAUUUAAAUUGACAGCAAUAUUAUUUGACACAAAUCUAUCUAAAUCAAAAUUUUAAUAAUUUUCACACCAAACAUUUACUGGACUGAUUUAAACAUUAAAAUCACUCCUUUCUAAUCCUCUGCUGUAUGUUCAAACCUGAGGCCUUAAAUAGAAACACACAAGUAUCUGAUUGAAGGAACUUCUGCAGAGUCUUGGUUCCAGAACAUGAUGAUAGAAUUAUAGACAAACUUUAACAAAAGCUGCAUGAGAGUUUACAGGUUUUUAUGUUGGAUUUCUUCAGUAAUUUAAUGAGUUAUCAGCAAAAAUCAAGUGUUUAUUUGAUGAACUUCAUUUCCUAAAACAUCCAGAAUUGGAGCUCAUAUCUUUGGCAGCUGUAAAGUUUCUGCUCCUUCAAAGUUCACAACACAAUGAAUGAAUUCCUAAAACACUCUCAAUGCUGGAGAGCGUUUGAUGCUGAAGCAGUGACCAGUUUUUCUGUUUCUUCUCUGGAGAUGCACAAUGAGGGACGUCUGCAGAGACUGAGAAAGAGUCUCACCACAUCCUGACAUGAGGAAAAAGACUUUAUUGAAGACUACAAUGAGAAAAACUAUCAGACAGCAGACGGCUGCAUUCAAGGCUACAGGAGGAGCCCUACGAGGACGAGCCGGUCCACCUGAUGGCGGCCAGUCGCUGCUUUUCAAAGCCAACACCGACUACGUGGACUUCUACUGGACCACACGGAGGCCUUCAAACCGGACCAACAAGUUCACCGACUCCCCGACUCGUGGGUCUGAGGACGCCGCUGAGCCUCGGCCCAGCCGGCCUCCUGUCUGUGGGUGUUUGAGUGCUGAGAGGUUUGUGGAUGCAUGUGAACGUUCUGUGUUGAAACAGCAGCUUUGGACUCACUAACGCCAGGAAAAACCAAGAGCUCCUUUAUUUGUGACUUCCACUAAAAAACUGAUGAAAAUAAGUUU
Molecule: long non-coding RNA, 1574 nt
Organism: Amphiprion ocellaris (clown anemonefish)
Lineage: Eukaryota; Metazoa; Chordata; Actinopteri; Pomacentridae
Source: Ensembl